RNAcentral lists this ribosomal RNA (465 nucleotides) under uncultured bacterium. Its description in RNAcentral is "partial 16S ribosomal RNA". It matches the Rfam family "Bacterial small subunit ribosomal RNA", at positions 28 to 507 of the family's 1533-position model. The record is from RNAcentral.
GACGAACGCUGGCGGCGUGCUUAACACAUGCAAGUCGUACGGUAAGGCCCUUUCGGGGGUACACGAGUGGCGAACGGGUGAGUAACACGUGAGUAACCUGCCCACAACUUUGGGAUAACGCUAGGAAACUGGUGCUAAUACUGGAUAUGUGCUCCUGCUGCAUGGUGGGGGUUGGAAAGCUCCGGCGGUUGUGGAUGGACUCGCGGCCUAUCAGCUUGUUGGUGGGGUAGUGGCCUACCAAGGCGGCGACGGGUAGCCGGCCUGAGAGGGUGACCGGCCACAUUGGGACUGAGAGACGGCCCAGACUCCGACGGGAGGGAGAAGUGGGGAAUAUUGCACAAGGGGCGCAAGCCUGAUGCAGAAACGCCGCGUGCGGGAUGACGGCCUUCGGGUUGUAAACCGCUUUCAGCAGGGACGAAGCUUUUUGUGACGGUACCUGCAGAAGAAGCACCGGCUAACUACGUG